AGAGAGUGUGUCAAGACAAAUCUAUUGAUGGUUUCAAUUUCGUAUUUGAUGGCCACCACCGUCAGAGACGAUUUACGGCACAGUGGUCCACAGUGGUUUUUACCUGAGACUGGAGCUCACCUUCUUUUUUUAGCCUGGCGCUUUUUUUUGUUUUUUAAACUCAAUUUGAGUUAAUUACCACGUGCUUGAAUUGAGUCCAUGCUGAAACUACCUUGUCUUGCAUUGUUUUUGUUGGGCUCCAUGUACAUGGGUCCAACCUGUUUUGCUAGCCAUCAUCCUUAGUAGGCUCACACACCCCUUUGCCAUGACUGAAGAGCAUUAGGCCUUUUACCCAAGGCCCAUGCGCCUGGGUCUUUCUUACACCCUAAUUCCAGAAUCUAAACCCCCUGGCCCAUUAUUUU
This 401-nucleotide long non-coding RNA is filed under the name Lathyrus oleraceus (garden pea). Its description in RNAcentral is "Pisum sativum (pea) long non-coding RNA (PSAT_LNC027631)". Lineage: Eukaryota; Viridiplantae; Streptophyta; Magnoliopsida; Fabales; Fabaceae. The record is from RNAcentral.